AAACUCCACGGAUCAGGAAACUCCCUUGCCAUAGAAUGCCGAGUCUGAAGAAUUGCAUCUGCUAUCGUGACUCUCAAACACGAAGCAUCCUCCGAAAAUAAUCGAAGCAUUGAAUAGUUUUAAUUCGAACACAUUUGUUAAAAAGUCUUUAUCAUGACUCCGGGUGGAAGAUACAACGAGCCGUAUCGCCACAAGGACAGAUGUUCGUGGGCUAGGAUAUGCUGUGCAAUAAUUGUGGUUGCCAUUAUCAUGGAGCUAUUGGCCCUUCUUCUUUGGAUCUUAUACCGCAAUGGUAAAUUAUGAGUAAAGCCAUGAAUCAACGUGGAUGUUCAUCUGACAAAUUUGGUUUUACGGCAAACUGUCCCGGAAAAAGUAUUGACGCCGCACUGCACAAAGCAAACCACAGCUCAACGGAGAAAACACCAUCACACAGACAAAUCCACGUCACACCAAGAAAUUGGAAGGAUAGUAUGUCGUUGAAAAUACCACAAUACUCUUUAAUUGGUCUGGUUUAUUUGGUGUAACUGGGACAUACUUGUGACAUUUCAAUAGGAAAGUGGUCGUCAUCACUAGAGAACAGAUCAUGAUAGCAUAUUUGCUUGUUCCUUCAUUGUUGGUAAAGUACUUAUCAGCAAUGACAUCUUUUACGGAAAGGGGGUACCCACAAUUUAAGGGUUUAAGAAUUGUAACAAUUUUUUUUGGCAUAUAAUGAACCGUUCGAAUGUAAUCUACUCUAUGAAUAUAAAGUAUUUACUCACAUUCUAAUGCAAAUGCAAGGUAUCUAAGCACGAAAUAAAGAGCGUGGAUGAUGAUUAGGAUUCAUUUAAUUAACAAUAUGAUAUAAAUUAUUGCAUCACCUAUAAUUGAUCAAUAAGGCUGAAGCUUUAGGCUGAAAAUAUGUUUAGUGGACGCUGGUUGUAGAAUAUCGUCAACAAUCUGUAUAUAUUUAUUUUUUAUAUUAGGUUCUGUAAACAAUAUACAAAAACCCACUAUUUUCUAAUAUUGUUGUUUUUGAAAAGCUAUGUACCAUUCUCUCUGUCUUUAACGUUUACAAUACCUCCUUUUGAAUGUAGGAUUGUUGCAAGGCAUUAUGCCACUCUUUGGCAAACGCAAGAUGUAAAAUAUGUCACGUGGUUCCUGAGGCUUGAGAGCUAGGCUAUCACCCAUUCGUCUGGAAACAAUUUCCGCAAUUAUUAAAUUUUCCAUUCCAAUUGGUAUUAUAUUCUAGGUCAUCCAUGAUAAUAAUAAUUCGAUAAUAUUUUAUUGUCAGAUCAGUUUGUUUAAUAAAUGCAAAUUGUGGUGACGAUAUGGAAAUUGCCUAAAAAAGAAGAAAAAAAUCCAGAUACCGAUAGAAUUAUCACCUACGCGUGUUUAUAUACAAUUAAGAAAUAUGUGUCAAUUUGUAGUAAAAAUGUGGAAUUGAUAAUAAUUAAAAGUGGUGCUUCUGCAAGGUUGGUCUUUGUCUAAGUUAAUGUACCGUCCGAAUGAGGUUAAUCGUUUUGUGUUCUUCAGAUACAUAAUUUGCCACCUUAAAUGCCACGAUUAAAUGAGAUCUAGAUAAUAUGGGUGACAGAUAACCUUCAUUUCGAAGGCUUUAUUAGGAAUCCAUUGUUUGCUACAGACGUAUUGGUUAAGCUUUGCUGUGAUAUAGUAUAGUUUUUGAGAUUUAUUGCGACAAUCAAAUUGUAAUGAUAAACGUGAGGAGACAAAUGUAAUGUUUGCCAAUUUAAUGUCAUUCUAUAUGCAUGCAAAUGUAUAUUCAUGAUAAUACAUAGGAGUACUAUUUAGAGUUCUUAAUUGUGUAAUUAAAGGAAAGUAGGUCAAUGCGUUUAAAUGGCUGGGGGAUGCUUAAUUGCUUUCAUUGAUUAAUACCUUGAGAGAUAAAAGUGUGUAAAUUAAACAAUGUUCAUUGCAAAUACAAUGUCGAUCAGCAUUUACUUUUUACAAAGAUUUAUACACAACCCUAAACAUUCGAAUUUAAAUGAUGCAUUACUUUGAUUGAAUUACACAUAAUUAUGUUCUAUUGAUUAUGAGCUCACUUUAGUUUAUAUACCGUAGAACCUUUAGCUGUCUUUUGAUGUGUAUGUAAAAUAGCUGUUGUCAUUUUUUCUGAUUAUAUUGUUAACGACCAUAAGUAAUGCCUUCAGAUCUAUUAUCUUGCAUUAUUUACAUUUCUUAUUUUUUUCAAAUUGAUGUUUGUCCUUGUGUCUUUUUAUCUUAGAUAUUGGUUUCACAUUGUUUCCAUUGAUAUUAUAAUAUAAAAUAUUGAGAUGAAA
This is a long non-coding RNA of Lytechinus variegatus (green sea urchin), 2276 nucleotides long. RefSeq lists it as uncharacterized. Lineage: Eukaryota; Metazoa; Echinodermata; Echinoidea; Temnopleuroida; Toxopneustidae. The record is from RefSeq and is a predicted model, not a curated record. The transcript has 2 exons.